GGCCCAGUGGCCUGAUGAAUAAGGCACAGCCUUCAGAGCUGGGUGUUGUGGAUUUGAAUCCCAUUUGGGUCG
RNAcentral lists this transfer RNA (72 nucleotides) under Astyanax mexicanus (Mexican tetra). It matches the Rfam family "tRNA". Rfam says of the family: Transfer RNA (tRNA) molecules are approximately 80 nucleotides in length. Their secondary structure includes four short double-helical elements and three loops (D, anti-codon, and T loops). Lineage: Eukaryota; Metazoa; Chordata; Actinopteri; Characiformes; Acestrorhamphidae. The record is from Rfam by way of RNAcentral.